RNAcentral lists this unclassified non-coding RNA (21 nucleotides) under Mus musculus (house mouse). Its description in RNAcentral is "oocyte_clustered_small_RNA3687". Lineage: Eukaryota; Metazoa; Chordata; Mammalia; Rodentia; Muridae. The record is from RNAcentral.
CAUAGGCACGGAGUAGCAGGA